Molecule: unclassified non-coding RNA, 1150 nt
Filed under: Hevea brasiliensis (rubber tree)
Lineage: Eukaryota; Viridiplantae; Streptophyta; Magnoliopsida; Malpighiales; Euphorbiaceae
Source: RNAcentral
CGAGGAUCAACCAGAGGAAAUACAGAACUGUGAAAGGAAAUAAUGCACCCUGGUGAAUAGUAAUUAGCACCUUGUGAACAGAAACAUUCACUCAGAAAUCAGCACACAUACCUAGAUAUAUCUAAAGUGAAUAAGCACUAAUGUAGCCAUGUACAUCAAGAAGGUUCUCAAGGUGAGCUAAAGUCAUUUGAACUCAUGUCUCUGACACAACCACCCACCAGCUUCCUCAGCUAAUCUAGCAGACAAAAAUACUAAUAACUAGGAAUUUGAUGUGAUAUCAAUAAUAAUGCUGACUCUAUUUCUCCAGCCUCAAAAACCAAGAUGCUUAGCUAAUUACAAGGGUAAAGGACAUCAUCUCCCCUUAACUAAUACCAACAACAUCUAAUGUGAGGAUGCCCAAAUUCAUGAGAGAAUCAUAAGCGAAAGUGAUCUGAUCAGGGAAGACAUUGAGUUUCUAGUACCUCUUCUUUGAUUUAGAUAAAAGGGUAUGGCAUACAAGAAACACUGGAACACUUUCCAGAUACUAAAGGUAAAAUGAGUAAGCCAUUAGAAUUGGUGAGAAGAACAUUUAGGAAUUUAUAAUUGUAUAUAGCUAGCAAUUGGAGUUAGUGAGUUGGUUUCUAAUUAGUUUUGAAUGUUCUCCAUUAGUUGCUCAGCAUGUAAGCAUAAGUUGUAAAUACUAGCAGAAGCCAUGUAAAAUGAUCAUUGAACAGUAAGAUUUUCUUUCUUUCUUCCCCCUAUCACUUACGAUACAAAUACCACCCAACAUAUUCAUGAUAUAUCAAAUAUACACCAUCCAAGUGCACAUUGUUAUUACUUGCACAUCUCAAAGAAUCUCAGAAGAACAUUGCAUUCCAAUGCUACCAAAUUACACAUGUACUUCACAGAAUAAAAUAUCAACAGUACCUGACUCCAAGUAUUAGAGCUGCUUCCCUUUUCGUCAUGACAGGAUGAAAGCCACCAUCAUAAAAUCGGCGAAGCCUAGCUGUUGGUGGUCUUGCCUUGAACGCUUGCCAAGCCUGGAUGCUGUAUCUGCCAGCAUAAGCAGCAGCAGCUACUGCAACACCUGCUAUAAAUGGUGCCACCAUAUCUGCGAUGAUCAAAAAGCUUGAAGAAGAAGAAAUGACGACUCGCGGCUUCUGGGGUUUUG